CCAGACAGGUGAGGAGUUCAAUCAUCUUCUCGGCCCUGAUGGCAGUGUCUUGAAUGGCAUAUGCGAGAGUGAUGUUGGUUGCUGAUGGAUUAUGGCCUGGUCCCUCUUGAUGAAUCUCAUGAUACAUGUUGAAUGUCGGAAAGGUAUCUGCAGCUUUCUGACUGUGGCCGAAGAAUACACGAGGAUCCACUCUCCCCAUCUCAGUCAGGAGUUAUGUAGUAUUGGCAGUCUAAACUUGGUCGUGUUACAAGGGCAUGGUCCCCAACGGAUAGCUGGACAAAGGAGCGUUUACGAGUUGUCUGUUGGUCCUCUGAUGAAGCCUUGGAUCUGUUAGUAUUACCUUGAUAAAAAAACCUGCUGCUGGGCAGCUUACUUUGGUGGAGUUUCCUCCCUUUGUUUCAUGGCCUUUGGUUCCUCUGAAACAUUUUGACAACUUCUGAGCCCAUUACUCUGGUGUAAGGAGAAGUGUUUUGAAGGUCGUGCCAAACACUCUUGAACAUUUUUAUGCACCCCUUUGGGAAGGGAGGGCAUAUUGCUUUGCUGCUGUCAGUCUGUCGGUUGGUCCACCAACAGUUUCCGUGCAUUUUCUUGGCAGAGGAUAAACAUAUUGAAAUGAAAUUUGGUAUACAGGUUAAGCAUGAUAAUGCCUAGGUCAAGUUUGAUUAUGGGUACGAUCGAGCAAUUUUUGUUAGAGUUAUGGCCCUUGGACGUAGAAAAAAUUCCAGUUAUUUGCAGUUUCCACUCAUUUUCUUCGCAGAGAAUAAACAUGUUGAAAUGAAAAUUGGUAUACAUGUUUAUCAUGAUAUUAUCUAGGACUAGUUCGAUUUUGGGUAUGAUAUUAAUAGCAAAUUUCUCAGAGUUAUACUCCUUGGACUUACAAAAAUUCCAGUUAUUUGCAGUUUACCUCCAUUUUCUUUUUGGAUGUUUCCAAAGGAGGGGGGCAUACGUGUUUCACAAUCAUCUUUUGUUUUUUGAAAGCUCAAGUAAGCUUUUUUGAUCACUUUUUGUCCGUUGUUCAUCUGUCUGUCCAUAAACUUUUUACAUUUUCAACUUCUUCUCCAGAACUACUUG
Magallana angulata is the source of this 1071-nucleotide long non-coding RNA. RefSeq lists it as uncharacterized. The transcript is spliced from 3 exons. The record is from RefSeq and is a predicted model, not a curated record. Lineage: Eukaryota; Metazoa; Mollusca; Bivalvia; Ostreida; Ostreidae.